RNAcentral lists this ribosomal RNA (477 nucleotides) under uncultured bacterium. RNAcentral describes it as "partial 16S ribosomal RNA". It matches the Rfam family "Bacterial small subunit ribosomal RNA", at positions 28 to 507 of the family's 1533-position model. The record is from RNAcentral.
GAUGAACGCUAGCGGCAGGCCUAACACAUGCAAGUCGAGGGAGAAGCCCUUUCGGGGGAGGAAACGGCGCCCGGGGGCGGAAAGCGUAUGCCACCUUACUUUUACCAGGGGAUUAGCUGGAGAAAUUUGGAUUAAUACCCCAUAAUAUUUUUGGAUGGCAUCAUUUUGUUAUUAAAAAUUCGGUGGUGAAAGAUGGGCAUGCGUCCUAUUAGCUAGUUGGAGUGGUAACGGCACCCCAAGGCUACGAUAGGUAGGGGUCCUGAGAGGGAGAUCCCCCACACUGGUACUGAGACAGGGACCAGACUCCUACGGGAGGCAGCAGUGAGGAAUAUUGGUCAAUGGUCGGAAGACUGAACCAGCCAUGCCGCGUGCAGGAAGAAUGCCUUAUGGGUUGUAAACUGCUUUUAUAUGGGAAGAAUAAGGCGUACGUGUACGUUGAUGACGGUACCAUAUGAAUAAGCAUCGGCUAACUCCGUG